CUUGGUGCCAGCCGCCGCGGUAAUACCAGCUCUCCGAGUUGUAGGGAUGUUUAUUGGGCCUGAAGCAUCCGUAGCUGGCUAAGUUAGUCCCUUGUUAAAUCCACCGAAUUAAUCGUUGGAUUGCGGGGGAUACUGCUUGGCUAGGGGACGAGAGAGGCAGACGGUAUUUCCGGGGUAGGGGUGAAAUCCUAUAAUCCCGGGAAGACCACCAGUGGCGAAGGCGGUCUGCUAGAACGCGCCCGACGGUGAGGGAUGAAAGCUGGGGGAGCGAACCGGAUUAGAUACCCGGGUAGUCCCAGCUGUAAACGAUGCAGGCUAGGUGUUUGGACGGCCACGUGCCGUUCUAGUGCCGCAGGGAAGCUGUUAAGCCUGCCGCCUGGGGAGUACGAUCGCAAGAUUGAAACUCAAAGGAAUUGGCGGGGUGC
RNAcentral lists this ribosomal RNA (425 nucleotides) under Sinorhizobium sp. M4_45. RNAcentral describes it as "bacterial SSU rRNA". It matches the Rfam family "Archaeal small subunit ribosomal RNA", at positions 451 to 876 of the family's 1478-position model. The record is from RNAcentral. Lineage: Bacteria; Pseudomonadati; Pseudomonadota; Alphaproteobacteria; Hyphomicrobiales; Rhizobiaceae.